CUUCCCGCGCCCCCGCCGACAGUCUCGCCGCGUCCCCGCCCGGGCGCCCCAGGCACGUAGCUGCCCGCCCGGAGGCGGCGGCAGAGCGCAGAGAGCGGGGCGAGGGUCCGGGUCUCCGGGGUCCUUCUUGCAGCAGCGCUGGCGAGGGCGGACCCAGAUGGCGCUCAGUACAGCCCCAGGAUGGCUGCGCCCACGUCCUUGGAGGGCCGGCGCUCCUGCACCAGAAAGUUGAUCAUGCUCUCGGACUUGAUGAGCAGGUUGCAGCCCAGGAAGAAGACGCCGAAGACCACGAAAUUUCCAAGGAAACUAUAUUUCUUACAUUGAUGGAAAUGUAUGGAAAGUGUACAGUUGGACCGAGAAACUGAUCUUACCUAGCCAUAUGGCCUGCUGCCUCUGCCAACUUAAAAACAGCAUUGAGGCUGUCUGCAAGACAGUCAAGCUGCAUUGCAACAGUGCAUGUCUGACAAACACCAUACAUUGUCGUUUAGGAUUGGGUGUGUGUGUCUCCUCUCUGAAUGGCACUCAAAUGUUUGCUGACUCCUACUCUGUGUGACUGGGGUGUACAGCUAUGG
This 572-nucleotide long non-coding RNA is filed under the name Homo sapiens (human). RNAcentral describes it as "long non-coding RNA NONHSAT054231". Lineage: Eukaryota; Metazoa; Chordata; Mammalia; Primates; Hominidae. The record is from RNAcentral.